Long non-coding RNA from Cornus florida, 3737 nucleotides. RefSeq lists it as uncharacterized. The transcript is spliced from 2 exons. Lineage: Eukaryota; Viridiplantae; Streptophyta; Magnoliopsida; Cornales; Cornaceae. The record is from RefSeq and is a predicted model, not a curated record.
AUUAUUAUUUUGAUUGUCAGACUAAAGUAUUAUUAUUAUUGUUAUGGUUACUAUUAUUAUGUGGGUAGUGUAGUGUAGUUAUAUUAUAAGGUUUUAUUACGUGGAAAAUAGAGAGAGAGGCAGAGAGGCUCGGCAGAGAGAAGAAAGAAUCGCAGAGAGAUAGAGAGAGAAGAAGGAGGGAAAAGGACCACCCGAAACCAAAAGGGGAAUGAAGGAGGUUAUGCUUGGGUAGAACAGAACCAAGAAGAGUAGACGACGGUAACCCGAAGGCUACCAGCGUUGGAGAAAAGGUGGUUGGUUUUUGAUCCAAAACCCUAAGGACCCUUAACAGAGGAGUACGGACUGGAAAACAGAGGCUGAAGCUAGAGAAGACGACUUCCAGGUAGAGUCAGUUGGCUGGCGCAAAGAGUCAGCCGACCGAUUUAGGGAAAACAGCCAACCAAUUUAGGGGAGUCAGCCGACUGACUUAGAGGGUCAAUCGACUAAUUUCACCUGCUCCUUAUGUUCUUCUGUUAUUGUUUCCAGAUUUUUGUUUUGGUCCAUUUUAAUUUAACUAAUUGAUAUUAAUGAACAUGGUAUAUUCCCAGUAUGCAUAAUAUACUUUAAUAUGCAAAGAUAUGGGAGGGUAAUGGACUUUAAAUGAUUUAUAAGUUGUUUAUGUGGUUUAUAUAUAAUUGUUAUAAUUGAUUUAAUAAUUGCAACAGAUGGUAAUAGAAUUUUAAUCAUGCUUAUAACUGUAUUGAUGAUCUUGGAUAUGAUCUGUUUUACCUGUUUUGCCAUUGUUAGAUAUGGCUAUGUUGAGUUUAAUAAUUGUAUGAGAUGAGAUCAUUGAGAUAAUUAAUUAAUAAGCUAGGCUCUUUGAUAUUUACGCAAUUGUUAGAUAUGGCCUUGUUAAUUUGGUGAGUAGGUGGGCUGGCUAACAAGUCUAGACACAGUACAUCGUGUCAUUAUUAGAUAUGGUUCUGUUGAUGAUCUUAUUACAUUAUAUAUAUGUAUUACCUUGAUACGAGUUGAUUUGUGUCUUGGGAUUAGUGGUUGAGACUAAGGCGUAUAUUGUCGGAGAUAAGUAGCUAGAUAUAGGAGAUGUGUGAGCUCUGGUAGAGUGAGACUCUUAACCACCUUGUGUGUGAUUUUUUAUGAAAUAUCCACUAUCCGAUUAAAACUAUCCUAUAUUUCAGUGAGUGUCUUUAGUGUGUAUAUAUAUGUAUGGACUAUGCAGCUAUUGCAUGAGUUUGGUUAAGGAUGUAUCGCUUAUCGGUUCUCUGAUUGGAUCAUUAUAAAAAGGACUUGUUCGUGGGUUUUGACCCACCUUUGUUAUAUUUUUUAGGUCCUCGCUAGUACCAGUCUUAUAGGUCGUUCAUGUAGAUCAGAUUCCAGUAAUCAUCUUCACUCUUCCGGAUUUAUCGACGUAAGAUAUUACUUCAUGUUUUUAUUAUUCAGACUCAAAUAUUUAUUUAUUAUUAUUAGGGACCCAUGAUAUACAGAUUCCCGAGUUGUAUUAUGGAGAUUUGUUUACAGUUGGAUUUAAUAGAGUUAUGGUAUCAGAUGAGUUGAGGAUUAUUAAUUAUUAUUUUAAUUGUUCUUUUUAGCAUUAUUAUUUAUUUUUUUAUUUCCAUUUGUAUUAUGUGCUUGCUUUAAAUACUAAUUGUUUGAUAUCUCCCGAUCUUUGGGCGAGAACUUGAUCAAUCCGAACUUAAAAAUUAGGGAUAUCACAAUUUCUUUAUCGGACUCGGAUCGGAUCAAGCCUGAUCCAGUCCAAAUCUGAUCCGUUGACAGGUCUACUUAUUAAACAUAUAUAAAUAAGGGUUAAAAUUAUAAAAUUCUCCUUUACUUUCCAGCAACAUCAUAUAACUUUGUAAGGUGUAAGAAACCCCAUUACUAUAUAUAUAUAUAUAUAUAUAAAGUGCAAAAAUUACCCACGCUUUUUAAGAAAAUACUUAUAAAUUCCUAUAUUUUAAAAUUUUGUGCAAAUUGUCCCUGAUCAACAUUUUUGAUCAAUUUUUUUGUUAACACCCCAAAAUACCCUUAAGGGAAUUUUGGAUUUGUUUUAAUAAAUAAAAAAUUUUAAAACUAAAAAAUUGGGGUUUUUAUAAAAAAAAUUUAAACAUACCCUUAUUUAUUAUUAUUUAUUUAUCGAUAAAUUAAAUUUUUUUUAUUCUAAAUUUUAAAAUUUUAUUAUCUUAAAGGCAUAUUUCAGUCUUCAAAUUGAAGAAUUGUCCUUAUUUGCUCAAGUUGAAAAAUAUUAGAGAAUUUUUUAAACACCAAAUAAGUAUUUGCACAUCCUAUAUAUAGCAAAGGUUUCUUGCACUUUACAAAAAAAAAAAAAAAAAGUUGAGGAAGGAAACUGGGAAAGAGAUUUCUGAGAAGCCAUGAAGUUCCUCAUUGGAGUUCUAAUCGACAUUAUUGGAUACGGUGGAGAGAGACCAUUAAAUUAAGAACAAUUUAGUUCUUUUAAUUCUUGGAUCACUUACAUCAUUAUGAUAUCAUUUUUUAAAAUAUUAAAAUCAAUGGUUGUAUGAUAAAUUCACCAUCGAAGUUAACCAUUGAGGUCCGAGAAAUCCACCCAAAAUACUCCUUCCGUCUAAAAAAUAGUCUUUUGGGAACCAAAUUUAUCCAUAGUGGAUCUAUAAUGAUGUGAUAAUUUACUUUUUAUAACCAACGGCAAGUGACCUAGCGGUAUCAAUUUCUUACUUCUUUAAAUGAGGUCAGGAGUUCAAGUCUCAAUAGAAAUGUGUGUGUACUCAAAAAAAAAAAUUACUUUUUAUUAAUUCAAUGUAGAAAAGUUAAUAUUAUAAUAUACAAAAAAUAAUAAUAAAUAAAUAAGAGACUUAUUUUAAAACAACUGAAAAAAAACUAUAUUUUGAGAAAUGGAGUAAUUAAAAAUAGAGUAAAGUGCACUAAAUCCCUCUAAACUAUAACCCAAUUGCAGGAAACCUUUAAAGUAAGCAAAACUUCCUACACUAUCAAUUUGUUGUACUAAGUGACUAACCGUGAAACAUACAGGAAAAUUGAAGUUACCUUUUGGCCCCUUAAUUGAACGACAUUGUCUAAGUCAGGGUUUUUUAAUCAGAUGAUGAUGUGGCAUUGUAAUCUGUAGGACUAAUAAGGAAGUGACACGUACCCACCUAACCUUGUCAAUAACAUCGGUUGUAUCAAAUGGGCGCCGAACGUAUCAUUCUCUCGUGCCAAAACAUCCCAAGCGCUUAACAAUAUUUCAAACAAGUCAUAUGUACACCGUUGACUCGUCUCAAAAUUCCAGUAAUUUUCCAUCCCCCUUGAUUCUAAUUUUUCUCUCUCUCAACCCUGAUUGCUGAGUGUGUACUAGCUCGUGAAGAGAUCGCCUAGCGUCGACGAACUCGGCUUGUGGUUGAAAUUGUGCUAUGGACGUUUUUCUUCAUCGACGACCAUUUCUGGACUGUCGGCGAGGAGUUGUUGUCAUGACUGUGCCUUCGUCGCGAACCAGUGUGCAGAUCGGAAAUUUGCAGAGAUCGACGGUGCUGUGUAGCCCACCGAUGACCUCUCCGUUUGCUGACGCCGGUGGCUGUCGUGUGUAUUCGCCGUUGUGACUGAUUUUGUGGUUGGUGGCUUCGUUUGAAACUGAGUGUGGUUCUUUGCUGUAGCUAAGAGAUUUGCAGGGGCUUCACCGUCGUCCCUUGGCUGUGAAUUGAUUUGUGGUGGUCUCGAUUCUCCAUUCUGGAUCUCAGAUCCUUGUUUUUUUUUCUUUUUUUUUUUUUUUU